GGGGAAUUUUCCGCAAUGGGCGAAAGCCUGACGGAGCAAUACCGCGUGAGGGACGAAGGCUUUUGGGUCGUAAACCUCUUUUCUCAAGGAAGAAUAUGACGGUACUUGAGGAAUAAGCAUCGGCUAACUCCGUGCCAGCAGCCGCGGUAAUACGGAGGAUGCAAGCGUUAUCCGGAAUGAUUGGGCGUAAAGCGUCCGCAGGUGGUUUUGUAAGUCUGCUGUUAAAGCGUCAUGCUUAACAUGAUAAGGGCAGUGGAAACUAUGAGACUAGAGUAUGUUAGGGGUAGAGGGAAUUCCCAGUGUAGCGGUGAAAUGCGUAGAGAUUGGGAAGAACACCGGUGGCGAAAGCGCUCUGCUAGGACAAUACUGACACUGAGGGACGAAAGCUAGGGGAGCGAAUGGGAUUAGAUACCCCAGUAGUCCUAGCCGUAAACGAUGGAUACUAGGCGUUGCCCGUAUCGACCCGGGCAUUGUCGUAGCUAACGCGUUAAGUAUCCCGCCUGGGGAGUACGCACGCAAGUGUGAAACUCAAAGGAAUUGACGGGGGCCCGCACAAGCGGUGGAGUAUGUGGUUUAAUUCGAUGCAACGCGAAGAACCUUACCAGGACUUGACAUGUCGCGAAUCAUGGGGAAACUCGUGAGUGCCUUCGGGAGCGCGAACACAGGUGGUGCAUGGCUGUCGUCAGCUCGUGUCGUGAGAUGUUGGGUUAAGUCCCGCAACGAGCGCAACCCUCGUUUUUAGUUGCCAGCAUUAAGUUGGGCACUCUAGAGAGACUGCCGGUGACAAACCGGAGGAAGGUGGGGAUGACGUCAAGUCAGCAUGCCCCUUACGUCCUGGGCUACACACGUACUACAAUGCGACGAACAAAGGGCAGCUACACAGCAAUGUGAUGCAAAUCUAUGAAAUCGUCGCUCAGUUCAGAUUGAAGGCUGCAACUCGCCUUCAUGAAGUCGGAAUCGCUAGUAAUGCAGGUCAGCAUACUGCAGUGAAUUCGUUCCCGGGCCUUGUACACACCGCCCGUCACACCAUGGAAGCUGGUCACGCCCGAAGUAGUUAUCCUAACAGUUCGCUGGGGGAGACUCCGAAGGUAGGGCUGGUGACUGGGGUGAAGUCGUAACAAGGUAGCCGUACCGGAAGGUGUGGCUGGAUCACCUCCUUUUUAGGGAGACCCAUCAAGUCAAAACAAGAAAGUGAAGAGUAAAAAGAAUUUGAAAAGUAGUUCUUUUGGCUUUAAGCUUUAAAUGUUUAACUUGAUCUACCCGAGGUCGGUUGUGAAUGCAAUGUGGCUAUCAAACUAUAUCAUUGGUUCGUAUUGGGCUAUUAGCUCAGGUGGUUAGAGCGCACCCCUGAUAAGGGUGAGGUCCCUGGUUCAAGUCCAGGAUGGCCCACAUUAGUUUUGGGGGUUUAGCUCAGUUGGUAGAGCGCCUGCUUUGCAAGCAGGAUGUCAGCGGUUCGAGUCCGCUAACCUCCACAUUGACUCGGUGUAGAUGCAUAUAGUAGAUAUAUGUGAUAGACAUGAGCAAAAAAAUUGGGAAAUUCAGCAACUGUAGUUAUUAAUAGUAGUAAAGAUAACUAAGCCUGCUGGAUGUAUUAUCCAGUAAAAGAACCUUGAAAACUGCAUAGUGACGCAAAUAGUAGGCAGUAAAUGCCUUGAAGGUUAAUUACAGAAGUACUUUAGUUGUGUAAUUAAGACGGCAAAGGCAUGUAUUGUAUUACAGAUAAUCCUUGAAUUGAAAAAAGGUCAAGCGAAUAAGGGCUGACGGUGGAUGCCUAGGCACACAGAG
This 1785-nucleotide unclassified non-coding RNA is filed under the name Dulcicalothrix sp. N3-MA1. Its description in RNAcentral is "bacterial SSU rRNA". The stretch from base 1 to 1160 matches the Rfam family "Bacterial small subunit ribosomal RNA", at positions 356 to 1533 of the family's 1533-position model. The record is from RNAcentral. Lineage: Bacteria; Bacillati; Cyanobacteriota; Cyanophyceae; Nostocales; Calotrichaceae.